AUUGAACGCUGGCGGCAGGCCUAACACAUGCAAGUCGAGCGGAUGACGGGAGCUUGCUCCUUGAUUCAGCGGCGGACGGGUGAGUAAUGCCUAGGAAUCUGCCUGGUAGUGGGGGACAACGUUUCGAAAGGAACGCUAAUACCGCAUACGUCCUACGGGAGAAAGCAGGGGACCUUCGGGCCUCGCGAUAUCAGAUGAGCCUAGGUCGAAUUAGCUAGUUGGUGGGGUAAUGGCUCACCAAGGCGACGAUCCGUAACUGGUCUGAGAGGAUGAUCAGUCAAACUGGAACUGAGACACGGUCCAGACUCCUACGGGAGGCAGCAGUGGGGAAUAUUGGACAAUGGGCGAAAGCCUGAUCCAGCCAUGCCGCGUGUGUGAAGAAGGUCUUCGGAUUGUAAAGCACUUUAAGUUGGGAGGAAGGGCAGUAAGCUAAUACCUUGCUGUUUUGACGUUACCGACAGAAUAAGCACCGGCUAACUCUGUGCCAGCCGCCGCGGUAA
This 500-nucleotide ribosomal RNA is filed under the name uncultured bacterium. RNAcentral describes it as "partial 16S ribosomal RNA". It matches the Rfam family "Bacterial small subunit ribosomal RNA", at positions 30 to 523 of the family's 1533-position model. The record is from RNAcentral.